RNAcentral lists this ribosomal RNA (459 nucleotides) under uncultured bacterium. Its description in RNAcentral is "partial 16S ribosomal RNA". It matches the Rfam family "Bacterial small subunit ribosomal RNA", at positions 338 to 795 of the family's 1533-position model. The record is from RNAcentral.
CCUACGGGAGGCAGCAGUGAGGAAUAUUGGUCCAUUGGCGGGAGCCUGAACCAGCCAAGUCGCGUGAGGGAUGACGGCCCUAUGGGUUGUAAACCUCUUUUGCCGGGGAGCACAGUGCCGCACGUGUGCGGUUUGGAGAGUGCCCGGAGAAAAAGCAUCGGCUAACUCCGUGCCCGCAGCCUCGGUAAUACGGAGGAUGCGGGCGUUAUCAGGAUUUAGUGGGUUUCAAGGGUUCGUAGGCGGACGCUUAAGUCAGCGGUAAAAUUGCGGGGCUCAACCGAGUCGAGCCGUUGAAACUGGGUGCCGUGAGUGGGCGAGAGGUACGCGGAAGGCGUGGUGUAGCGGGGAAAUGCAUAGAUAGCACGCAAAACUCCGAGUGCGAAGGAAGCGUACCGGCGCCCAACUGACGCUGAAGCACGAAGGCGUGGGUAUCGAACAGGAUUAGAUACCCCGGUAGGC